This 35-nucleotide ribosomal RNA is filed under the name Palaquium amboinense. Its description in RNAcentral is "partial 26S ribosomal RNA". Lineage: Eukaryota; Viridiplantae; Streptophyta; Magnoliopsida; Ericales; Sapotaceae. The record is from RNAcentral.
CUCGACUGCGACCYCAGGUCAGGCGGGAUUACCCG